CUGGUAGCUGCCGAACUCGUUCUACUGUGUACCAACUGCUGGCUUCUUGUGUUCCGUCUGUCGACCAUACCUGUACAAUGACUUCCAGCGUGUAUCAGUACGAAUUCCUGUGCAGCUGCAGUCGUCGUCUUGUAUCGUAUGCUAUCUUGUUGGUGGCGAUCUGCUCGCAAAUGGCGGACAGCUCGAUGGCGGUAUCAGUCGGCAAGCAUGACGGUGAAUUUCUGGAGAUCCACUCCGGAGAGACUCUGCACAACUUGCAGCUGGGUCACGGGAAAUCCUUGGCGCUUCGACUGGUUGGCUUAGACAAGCAGCGUUCAUACACGAUCCGGAUCUCCUACCCGGCUACGACGCCCACGGAGUUUGUGGUGGAUGUGUUUGCUGGACUCCAGCUGCACCCGACCGUUGUGAGGCCGCAGCGUGCCCUGAUGAAUGUGGAGCAGAUGCGCUUCUCUCCCGACUCGCUGCCCAGGAACGGCGAUGGGAAUGGCAUCUACGCGCGCGUGACUGCGUGGCGUACUGGCGUGGCGCGGGACCCGGAACUACUCGCGCAACCAGUCGCGUUCAAUCUGGUUCUGGAGAAGCUCUACAUGGGCCAGCCAUUACACGUGUGGGCCUUUGUUGCGUUUGCCCUGUGUGGCAUUCUGUUGGUAACACUCAGUGUUCCUACUGUUCACGUCAUGAUACGCUACGCUGUCGAUACCUUCCACCCACUGCCGGUGGUGCUCAAACUACGGACCCAGUAGCGACAGUCUAGCCAUGCACUCGAGCACAGAAGGCACAGUCUAAGCAGAAUGCACUUGGCAACAGGUUUGGAUCGACAGCCACCAAAUGCCCACGCUGUGACCUGAGCGUCUAUCAUGCUGAGAGAAUAGUUGUCACAGGAAGGGACUACCACCGUGCUUGUUUCCGCUGUAAGACAUGCAAGCGUAACCUCGAGUCGGGCAGCCACGCUGAACAUGAGGAGGAAGUCUAUUGCAAAGGUUGCCAUGCUAAGGAGUUUGGUCCAAAAGGUUGCGGCUUCGGUAUUGGCGCGGGUGCUUUACGCACAUCCUAGACAAGCAUGCAGACGGACGCCAGGCACGCUGCAGCGAAUUGUAUUACAUCUGCUCACCAGCUUCCAUGCCUGCCUGCAUGCACUGCUGUAUCAGUGUCUGGCCCCGCUGUGCACGGCACUGUCUGCGAGCGGUGUUUGUGACUGCUGCAUUCUAUGCCACGUCUGCAUGGAACUUUUAAAGCGGUCAUGACAACACACAGCUUCAGAGCCUGUGUAUUUUUUAUCAGAUUGCACGUACCUACAGGAAAAGUAUGUAUUUGACAGAACGAUGUUCACCGCUACUUUCCACCUGAAUUCAUCUUGUGUACUACUUGCACAUAAUAGAAUGUACCUGCUAUCUGUGUGAGAACAUUUCGCUCAAGAGAUACCUCAAAAGUUAGAAUGCACGAUAUCUUUGAUAGCACAAGAUAGUGUAUUUGAGAAGAAGUAGCGAUGACCCG
Sycon ciliatum is the source of this 1494-nucleotide long non-coding RNA. RefSeq lists it as uncharacterized. The transcript is spliced from 4 exons. NCBI's taxonomy places the organism in Eukaryota, Metazoa, Porifera, Calcarea, Leucosolenida, Sycettidae. The record is from RefSeq and is a predicted model, not a curated record.